Molecule: small nuclear RNA, 78 nt
Filed under: Homo sapiens (human)
Lineage: Eukaryota; Metazoa; Chordata; Mammalia; Primates; Hominidae
Description: partial ncRNA
Source: RNAcentral
AGAGAAUCGCUUGAACCUGGAGGUGGAGAUUGCCGUGAGCCGAGAUCGCGCCAUUGCACUCCAGCCUGGGCAACAAGA